RNAcentral lists this unclassified non-coding RNA (260 nucleotides) under uncultured fungus. RNAcentral's name for it is "sequence contains ITS2". The stretch from base 1 to 52 matches the Rfam family "5.8S ribosomal RNA", at positions 103 to 154 of the family's 154-position model. Lineage: Eukaryota; Fungi. The record is from RNAcentral.
AACGCACAUUGCGCCCCCUGGUAUUCCGGGGGGCAUGCCUGUCCGAGCGUCAUUGCUGCCCUCAAGCACGGCUUGUGUGUUGGGCUUCCGUCCCUGGUAACGGGGACGGGCCCAAAAGGCAGUGGCGGCACCAUGUCUGGUCCUCGAGCGUAUGGGGCUUUGUCACCCGCUCCCGUAGGUCCAGCUGGCAGCUAGCCUCGCAACCAAUCUUUUUUAACCAGGUUGACCUCGGAUCAGGUAGGGAUACCCGCUGAACUUAA